UAUCCUAUUUUUUGUAUUGUU
Molecule: non-coding RNA, 21 nt
Filed under: Caenorhabditis elegans
Lineage: Eukaryota; Metazoa; Nematoda; Chromadorea; Rhabditida; Rhabditidae
Source: RNAcentral